UGUGUUAAGAAUUUAUCAAAUAAAAGUUAAUGUGUAAUACAACAUUUAUGGAAGACAAAUUUUUAUAAAAUAGAUAUAGAUAAAAGCUAAAUCAAUCUAUUGAGUAAUAUUCAAACAACAUAAGGCAUCUAAUCUGUAACAUAUUGAUUCUAUAUCAAAUACAAAACAAUGCUUUGACUUAAAUUUAUAUUGCUGAUUUUGAAUGCCUUGAAGUCGAAGAAUGGAGACACAUGCUCUCCAAUGGAACCUUGAGAAAGUAGAAUUAGCAAUAAACAAUUAGAUACACAUAAAAAAUAAAAUCAGCCCCAUAAUCUACAACCAAUUGAUUAAAUUUUCAUGCUUUUUUUUUUGACAAAAAACUUUCAUGCUUUUAAACCAUAGAAAAUACAUUUUUUUUUUGAAUUUUUUUAUGGGGGAAGAGACAUAUGAAAAUAAUGAAAAAAAAUUGUUUAUUUCUAGGGAAAAAAUUAUGGCAUGAUCAAUUUUGAUUGGCCUAUGAAAACUAAAUGUGUCAUGAUUCAUUUUGAUUGACUAAUAAAAAAGAAAUGAGUCAUGAUUCAAUUUGAUUGUAUGUUAAGAAAACAUUAAAUUAUAUGAGAAAUGUGAAGAUGCCACAUGUACUCUUGAUAUGAAGGAAGGUAAAUGUUUAUAACAAAUAUAUAUAUAUAUAUAUAUAUAUAUAUAUAUAUAUAUAUAUGAUUUGCUAGAACAUACCCACUAGUUUUCAUGUGGGAGUGUUUUAGCAAGCUACACCUUAAUGUGUAUUUAACUACUUUUUAGUUAUAACUUGCUAAAACACACAUUCUAAAAAAUAAGUGGGUGU
This 823-nucleotide long non-coding RNA is filed under the name Medicago truncatula (barrel medic). RNAcentral describes it as "long non-coding RNA (MTRU_LNC006259)". The record is from RNAcentral. Lineage: Eukaryota; Viridiplantae; Streptophyta; Magnoliopsida; Fabales; Fabaceae.